RNAcentral lists this ribosomal RNA (1516 nucleotides) under Arenariomyces majusculus. RNAcentral's name for it is "bacterial SSU rRNA". It matches the Rfam family "Eukaryotic small subunit ribosomal RNA", at positions 71 to 1106 of the family's 1831-position model. Lineage: Eukaryota; Fungi; Ascomycota; Sordariomycetes; Microascales; Halosphaeriaceae. The record is from RNAcentral.
GCAUUAUACUGCGAAACUGCGAAUGGCUCAUUAUAUAAGUUAUCGUUUACUUGAUAGCACUUCACUACAUGGAUAACUGUGGUAAUUCUAGAGCUAAUACAUGCUAAAAAUCCCAACUUCGGAAGGGAUGUAUUUAUUAGAUGAAAAACCAAUGCCCUUUGGGCUCUCUGGUGAUUCAUGAUAACUUCUCGAAUCGCAUGGCCUUGCGCCGGCGAUGGUUCAUUCAAAUUUCUUCCCUAUCAACUUUCGAUGGAAGGUCUUGUCUUCGCAUGGUUACAACGGGUAACGGAGGGUUAGGGCUCGACCCCGGAGAAGGAGCCUGAGAAACGGUGCGUCCCCUACCGCUCCAUCUUCUGAAUUCACGUGCUAACAAUCGUUCUAGGCUACUACAUCCAAGGAAGGCAGCAGGCGCGCAAAUUACCCAAUCCCGACGCGGGGAGGUAGUGACAAGUAAGUUGCAGGCACUUCAGUUCACAUUCAGGCUGGACAUCCGCUAACGUUUUCGCAGUAAAUACUGAUACAGGGCUCUUUUGGGUCUUGUAAUUGGAAUGAGUACAAUUUAAAUCCCUUAACGAGGAACAAUUGGAGGGCAAGUCUGGUGGACUCCAGUCCCUGUGCUGGCGCCAGCAAGAGUGGGGGCUAGCACGCCGCCCGCGGAUCCAGGCCACUGGACCCGCGUGGCGGCCGGGCGUGCUGGGCUUCUGACCCGCUAGUCGAGCACCCGUUCCAGGGCGGGAGGGUGCCGGCGAGACAACCUGGAUCGGGGGAGGCUAAGGGGCGCGGGCCCUACGUCGAUCCCGAGCAGAGCAGGGGGGGAGCGAUCCCUCCCGUGCCUGUGUAGAGCGCGCCAAGGUGUCGGCCGCCCUGCGGACACGCAGGCGGCUUAAGGGACGUGCCAACCCCCUCGAAAGAGGGUCCCCUGUCCGGAGCGCCCGCCACGCGAAGGACCAGGGGCCUGCCACGGCAGGGAGAAGAUGCAGUGGCCAGCAGCCGCGGUAAUUCCAGCUCCAAUAGCGUAUAUUAAAGUUGUUGUGGUUAAAAAGCUCGUAGUUGAACCUUGGGCCUGGCUGGCCGGUCCCCCUCACCGGGUGCACUGAUCCAGCCGGGCCUUUCCCUCUGUGGAACCCCAUGGCCUUCACUGGUCGUGGCGGGGAAACAGGACUUUUACUUUGAAAAAAUUAGAGUGCUCCAGGCAGGCCUAUGCUCGAAUACAUUAGCAUGGAAUAAUGAAAUAGGACGCGUGGUUCUAUUUUGUUGGUUUCUAGGACCGCCGUAAUGAUUAAUAGGGACAGUCGGGGGCAUCAGUAUUCAAUUGUCAGAGGUGAAAUUCUUGGAUCUAUUGAAGACUAACUACUGCGAAAGCAUUUGCCAAGGAUGUUUUCAUUGAUAAGGAACGAAAGUUAGGGGAUCGAAGACGAUCAGAUACCGUCGUAGUCUUAACCAUAAACUAUGCCGACUAGGGAUCGGACGAUGUUGCUAAUUGACUCGUUCGGCACCUUUCGAGAAAUCAAAGUGC